This 476-nucleotide ribosomal RNA is filed under the name Streptococcus sanguinis. Its description in RNAcentral is "bacterial SSU rRNA". It matches the Rfam family "Bacterial small subunit ribosomal RNA", at positions 28 to 487 of the family's 1533-position model. Lineage: Bacteria; Bacillati; Bacillota; Bacilli; Lactobacillales; Streptococcaceae. The record is from RNAcentral.
GACGAACGCUGGCGGCGUGCCUAAUACAUGCAAGUAGAACGCUGAAGAGAAGAGCUUGCUCUUCUUGGAUGAGUUGCGAACGGGUGAGUAACGCGUAGGUAACCUGCCUGGUAGCGGGGGAUAACUAUUGGAAACGAUAGCUAAUACCGCAUAAAAUUGAUUAUUGCAUGAUAAUUAAUUGAAAGAUGCAAUUGCGUCACUACCAGAUGGACCUGCGUUGUAUUAGCUAGUUGGUGAGGUAACGGCUCACCAAGGCGACGAUACAUAGCCGACCUGAGAGGGUGAUCGGCCACACUGGGACUGAGACACGGCCCAGACUCCUACGGGAGGCAGCAGUAGGGAAUCUUCGGCAAUGGGGGGAACCCUGACCGAGCAACGCCGCGUGAGUGAAGAAGGUUUUCGGAUCGUAAAGCUCUGUUGUAAGAGAAGAACGGGUGUGAGAGUGGAAAGUUCACACUGUGACGGUAUCUACCAGA